CGCAUAUAUGUGAUAGGUCUGGAGCAGUACUGUCUCUUGCUAAGAUUUCCAUUAUGAAUGCAAGAAAAACAUGCCCUCAUGAUUUCUGUCUCUCUGUGGCAGCCAAGAUUGAGGGAAUAUAGGA
Molecule: small nucleolar RNA, 124 nt
Filed under: Otolemur garnettii (small-eared galago)
Lineage: Eukaryota; Metazoa; Chordata; Mammalia; Primates; Galagidae
Description: Small nucleolar RNA SNORA31 (ENSOGAG00000023419.1)
Source: RNAcentral